GGGGUGGGGGGGGGGGGGGCCUGGGGGGGGGGGGGCGGGGGAGCGGAGGAGGGGCUUGAGCCUGUGACGUUGGCGGCGGACGGUGGAGUAACACGUGGGUAACCUACCUAUAAGACUUGGAUAACUUCGGGCAACCGGAGCUAGUGCCGGAUAAUACAGUUAACCGCAUGGUUCACUCAUGAAAGACCGUUUUGCUUUCCAUUAUAGAUUGAUCCGCGCCGCAUUAGCUGGUUGGUAAGUUAACGGCUUACCCAGGCCACGAUGCGUCGCCGGCCUGGGAGGGUGAUCCGGCAACCUUGAACCUGAGACAGGGCCCGACUCCGUCGGGAAGCAGCCGUAGGGAAUCUUCCGCAAUGGGCGAAAGCCUGACGGAGCAACGCCGCGUGAGUGAUGAAGGUCUUCGGAUCGUAAAACUCUGUUAUUAGGGAAGAACAAAUGUGUAAGUAACUAUGCACGUCUUGACGGUACCUAAUCAGAAAGCCACGGCUAACUACGUG
This 497-nucleotide ribosomal RNA is filed under the name uncultured bacterium. RNAcentral describes it as "partial 16S ribosomal RNA". It matches the Rfam family "Bacterial small subunit ribosomal RNA", at positions 27 to 507 of the family's 1533-position model. The record is from RNAcentral.